Molecule: long non-coding RNA, 1841 nt
Filed under: Oryza sativa Indica Group (long-grained rice)
Lineage: Eukaryota; Viridiplantae; Streptophyta; Magnoliopsida; Poales; Poaceae
Description: lncRNA OsGoSa_07g0003560
Source: RNAcentral
UCACUUCUCCACGGUUUCACCCUCCCUCUCUAAGAGGGGGGGGGAAUCAUUGAGUGAUGACUGCCCUAUCCCUGAGCAGACGAGCCCCAGGCGGCGGGCCGGCGACCUAGCCCCACGCCACGCCGGAUCCGGCUGUCCGUUGCCGGCGGCGCUAUGCCUGACUCUUGCUGAAAGUUGACUAUCGGUUCAGUGUUCGUUUCGGAUUAGAGUUGGAGGUCAAGUCGGUGCUCAUCAUCUUCUAUCAUAUAUAUAUAUAUAUAUAUAUAUAUACAAAUCAUCAUCUUCUUCUUCAUCCAAACGGCUGCGCCGCCGCUUCCGUGCUCUGCAUCUUCCUCUGCCGCGGGUACGAAUCCUGCCGAUCGACCAAAUCUCAGCUAGGUCAACGUGUUGGUGCUGCUGCUGUGGGCAGCAGUUUGGUGGCUACGAGAAAGACAAAACGAAGCUUGAAACGGAUUGGAACUAAUACAACCAAAAAAGAAGAAGACAUGGAUGAUGCUACUACGACCAAAAGGAAAAGACCAGUGAUUCGUUUCAAUGACCUACCUACGGAUAUAUUGAUUGGUAUCAUAUCCCGGCUGCCGAUAAAAGAGGCGGCAAGGACGAGUAUAUUAUCAAGCCACUGGAAAAAAAUCUGGUGUUCCCAUGUAAACUUGGAAUUCUCAUUCUACUCGAUGUCGCCAAGAUUAGCUUCGACCUCACAUGAUGCACGGCUUAGGAUGAAAAUGUUCAUCGAGAGAGUCAGUCAAGUCUUUGCGCAACACAGUGGUCUAAGUGUUCAGAAAAUAGCAAUCCAAGGUAAGUUGGAUAAUGAACAUGCAGACCACAUAAACAGAUGGCUCAGCUUUGUUAGUGCUACUAAAACGAAAGAUCUUACUUUUGAUUUCAAAUCCCGGUAUCCUAGAGAGGGGCCCUAUGAUUUCCCUUUUAAGUUUUUCGGUGCUAUGGACAGUUCAUAUUUGCUGUCCAUGAGGCUUAGUGCUGUUUCUCUGAACCCGCCUGUGGAUUUCAAAGCCUUUCUGAACCUUAAAAGGCUCAAGUUAGAACACACAAAUAUUACUGAUGAAAACAUGCAGAUUUUGAUCUCCAACUGCAAUGCCUUGGAGUUUCUUGGUAUCGUUGAUUGUGGGAAGCUCACAAGAUUGUCGACAUCGCACCUUUGGAACCAGCUUAAACAUUUGCAUGUCGAGAGCUGCCAUCUGCUUAAAGAGAUAGAGUUGAAUCUUGGCCUGACGAAACUUGGGUACAAGGGCACACUGAUACCGUUGUCACCUCCUGGGCCAUUGCUGCUAACGAAUGUCUGCAUGAAGCUGCAACACGCUCGUUCCUCUCUUGGAUAUAUCUUCACCAAUCUUCCAAGCACUCUGCUCCAUCUCGAGACGCUGAGUUUGCAAUGUUCAGAACUCGAGAGGGCUAUUUUGCCAGAAAAUCAUAUCAAAUUUAUGUAUCUAAAGCAUUUGAGGUUGCAAUUGAGACACCCUGUGACGGAAAAGAAGAUUGAUCUUCUUGACUUUGCCUGCCUACUGGAAGCUGCUCCUUUACUGCAAAAGUUUGAAUUACAUCUGUCACUGCACAUUCUCAGAAAUUCCGCCAUGAUCAGGGCGAUGAAGGUCGACCCCAAGCCGCUCUUCGCCCUUCCUUGUAUAUCGAUGCUGUCACCCUUGGAAGGGUUUCAGUAUCUUGAUGGGUAUGAGGUCGCCAUUGAAUAUCUCUGCAGAGAAGACCACAACAAUGUCGUCGAUGUUUCUGAAAUUCGUCGUGAGGAGGUCGAAACGCUCUCGGUUUGUGAGCUGGUUUAUCCAGAUUGUGUUCGCCUUACCCGUAAGGCCAAUUCCUCUUCCUGA